Molecule: long non-coding RNA, 308 nt
Filed under: Sinocyclocheilus grahami
Lineage: Eukaryota; Metazoa; Chordata; Actinopteri; Cypriniformes; Cyprinidae
Description: lncRNA (ENSSGRG00000021694.1)
Source: RNAcentral
CUACAUUUCCCAAGACCCCCUUCAGUCAACAUGUUUGAAUACUCACAUCAGAGCAGCAUUUUCUUGUUCAAUGAGUUGUUGCUUCUCCUCCAUGGAUUUGACACAAGCUUCAAAAACAACAACAACAAACAACUUUAAGAAGUUACCGGAGCAGUUUCCCAACCACCAUUAUGCUACAGAUUCCAGAAAAUUCCGAAGACUCUAUGUUCCAGCUCUGACGCGGCUCACCUUCCCCUCUCGAUUACUCACUUAAAUCCCUUCCUUCACCUCAUCAAGAAGCGUAUGAAUAAUAAAUCAUCUUUAAAAUU